CCACGGGUCGCAGCAGUGGGGAAUAUUGCACAAUGGGCGCAAGCCUGAUGCAGCCAUGCCGCGUGUAUGAAGAAGGCCUUCGGGUUGUAAAGUACUUUCAGCGGGGAGGAAGGGAGUAAAGUUAAUACCUUUGCUCAUUGACGUUACCCGCAGAAGAAGCACCGGCUAACUCCGUGCCAGCAGCCGCGGUAAUACGGAGGGUGCAAGCGUUAAUCGGGAUUACUGGGCGUAAAGCGCACGCAGGCGGUUUGUUAAGUCAGAUGUGAAAUCCCCGGGCUCAACCUGGGAACUGCAUCUGAUACUGGCAAGCUUGAGUCUCGUAGAGGGGGGUAGAAUUCCAGGUGUAGCGGUGAAAUGCGUAGAGAUCUGGAGGAAUACCGGUGGCGAAGGCGGCCCCCUGGACGAAGACUGACGCUCAGGUGCGAAAGCGUGGGGAGCAAACAGGAUUAGAUACCCCGGUAGUC
RNAcentral lists this ribosomal RNA (464 nucleotides) under uncultured bacterium. Its description in RNAcentral is "partial 16S ribosomal RNA". It matches the Rfam family "Bacterial small subunit ribosomal RNA", at positions 339 to 795 of the family's 1533-position model. The record is from RNAcentral.